RNAcentral lists this ribosomal RNA (520 nucleotides) under uncultured Acidobacteriota bacterium. Its description in RNAcentral is "SSU rRNA". It matches the Rfam family "Bacterial small subunit ribosomal RNA", at positions 242 to 753 of the family's 1533-position model. The record is from RNAcentral. Lineage: Bacteria; Pseudomonadati; Acidobacteriota.
CAGCUAGUUGGUGGGGUAACGGCCUACCAAGGCAACGAUCAGUAUCCGGCCUGAGAGGGCGGACGGACACACUGGGACUGAGACACGGCCCAGACUCCUACGGGAGGCAGCAGUGGGGAAUUGUUCGCAAUGGGCGCAAGCCUGACGACGCAACGCCGCGUGGAGGACGAAGAUCUUCGGGUCGUAAACUCCUGUCGAGUGAGAAGAAUGGUUCGGGGACGAAUACUCCCCGGAAUUGACGGUACCACUAAAGGAAGCCCCGGCUAACUCCGUGCCAGCAGCCGCGGUAAUACGGGGGGGGCAAGCGUUGUUCGGAAUUACUGGGCGUAAAGGGCUCGUAGGCGGCCAACUAAGUCAGACGUGAAAUCCCCAGGCUCAACCUGGGAACUGCGUCUGAUACUGGAUGGCUUGAAUUCGGGAGAGGGAUGCAGAAUUCCAGGUGUAGCGGUGAAAUGCGUAGAUAUCUGGAGGAAUACCGGUGGCGAAGGCGGCAUCCUGGACCGACAUUGACGCUGAUGAG